Molecule: microRNA precursor, 108 nt
Filed under: Erythranthe guttata (spotted monkey flower)
Lineage: Eukaryota; Viridiplantae; Streptophyta; Magnoliopsida; Lamiales; Phrymaceae
Description: Mimulus guttatus (spotted monkey flower) mir-395 microRNA precursor family
Rfam family: mir-395 microRNA precursor family
About the family: mir-395 was identified in both Arabidopsis thaliana and Oryza sativa computationally and was later experimentally verified. mir-395 is thought to target mRNAs coding for ATP sulphurylases.
Source: Rfam by way of RNAcentral
AUGUCCCCUAGAGUUCCCUGCAAGCACUUCGGAAGGCGCUGAAUCGUACGUAACGUACGUACAUACUGUCUCGUCUGCUGAAGUGUUUGGGGGAACUCCUGGAUUCGU